GAUGAACGCUGGCGGCGUGCUUAACACAUGCAAGUCGAACGAAGCUGCUUAACUGAUCUUCUUCGGAAUUGACGUUUUGUAGACUGAGUGGCGGACGGGUGAGUAACGCGUGGGUAACCUGCCCUGUACAGGGGGAUAACAGUCAGAAAUAACUGCUAAUACCGCAUAAGACCACAGCACCGCAUGGUGCAGGGGUAAAAACUCCGGUGGUACAGGAUGGACCCGCGUCUGAUUAGCUGGUUGGUGAGGUAACGGCUCACCAAGGCGACGAUCAGUAGCCGACCUGAGAGGGUGACCGGCCACAUUGGGACUGAGACACGGCCCAAACUCCUACGGGAGGCAGCAGUGGGGAAUAUUGCACAAUGGGGGAAACCCUGAUGCAGCGACGCCGCGUGAAGGAUGAAGUAUUUCGGUAUGUAAACUUCUAUCAGCAGGGAAGAAAAUGACGGUACC
This 453-nucleotide ribosomal RNA is filed under the name uncultured bacterium. Its description in RNAcentral is "bacterial SSU rRNA". It matches the Rfam family "Bacterial small subunit ribosomal RNA", at positions 28 to 479 of the family's 1533-position model. The record is from RNAcentral.